This 586-nucleotide small RNA is filed under the name Histoplasma capsulatum. RNAcentral describes it as "hypothetical RNA". Lineage: Eukaryota; Fungi; Ascomycota; Eurotiomycetes; Onygenales; Ajellomycetaceae. RNAcentral also lists the same sequence under 1 other name. The record is from RNAcentral.
ACCGCAUAGGUGACCAGCGUUGUGCGUUUGUGACCCGUUUCAUUUUAUGCGUGCUCCUUUUUCUAUUUUCCAUUUCUUCCUGCUUGCAUUCAUUUGCGGAAUCGAGGUUUUGGACCCCGAACAAUAGUGUCAAUCAGCUGGUUGAGGAGCGUUUCCCUCCCUCUCAUCAGCUUUGCUUGGAAUUCUUGGAAUUUAGCUUGUUGUUUUGUUAUUUUUGUUAUAGGAAAAUGGGCUUGCGAAAGAGACUAAGGUGGACAUAUUUUGGGUCUGAAGGCAUGCGUACUACUGGCGAAUUCUUCUUCAUGGCGAUGAAGAGAAGGGAGGUGUGAGCUCAGCACCGCAUUCGGCAUGAUGCAUGCUCUCGCCUACCGAACGUGGAUCUCAGAAUUCCUCAUGCAUGGAGUUAAACAGGAGACAAAGGGGAUGUAUUGGUUGCUGUGAACCAGUCGUAUGAAAAUCGGCAAGGCAAUUUGGUAUGAGGAAAAACAAGUAGAAUUAUAUCGCGAAGGCCGCUGGUUUUAAUAGACUGCUUUUUUUGCUUCCCAAUUCUCACACUCUUGCUAGUGAUUUAGACUUUGAAGACGCU